This is a long non-coding RNA of Macaca fascicularis (crab-eating macaque), 1554 nucleotides long. The record is from Ensembl. Lineage: Eukaryota; Metazoa; Chordata; Mammalia; Primates; Cercopithecidae.
UUUUUUUUUUUUUUUUUUUUUGAGAUGGAGUUUCACUCUUGUUGCCCAGGCUGGAGUGUAGUGCCACGAUCUCAGCUUACUGCAAGCUCCACCUUCUGAUUUCAAGUGAUUCUCCUGCCUGAGUUUCCUGAGUAGCUGGGAUUACAGGUGUCCACCACCAUACCUGGCUAAUUUUUGUGUUUUUAGUAGAGAUAGAGUUUCACCAUAUUGGCCAGGCUGGUCUUGAACUCCAGACCUCAUGAUCUGCCAGCCUCAGCCUCCCAAAAUGCUGGGAUUACAGGCAUGAGCCACCACGCCUGGCCUUUUUUUUUUUUAUUUUAAGGAGCUAAGUUUCUCCUGUAUCUUAAACAGACAGCCAUCAUCGUGUAGUCUAUGUUCAUCAUUGACUCAGUUCUAGGUUACCAAUGUUGCUGGAAACAAUGGAGAUAACAUCAAAAAUCCUACCUAGCAGAAAACUAUACCUUAUGGAUGGUGCUUUAAAUCUUUUAAAAUUACGUGGGCAAGUCAAAUUAGAAAUAAGCCAGGCACAGUGGCUUACACCUAUAAUACCAGUGCUUUAAGAGGCCAAGGCCAGAGCAUCUCUUGAGGCCAUGAAUUCAAGAUCAGCCUGGGCAACAUAGUAAGAUUCCAUUUCUACAGAAAAGAAAAAUAAAAAACAAAAUUAGCUGGGAAUGGUGGUGUGUACCUGUAGUCUAAGCUACUUGGGAAGCUGAGGUAGCAGGAUCCUUUGAGCUAGGGAGCUUGAGGUUACAGCGAGCUAUGAUCAUGCCACUGCACUCCAGCCUGGGUGAUGGAGACAGUGCCUCUUGAAAAGAUCUUUUAAUUACUUGCUAUUGCACUUAAUAUUAAAAACAACAUGCAUCUUGGACUCUAAAAUAUAUUUCCUGAAGGGUAUCAUUUUUAUUCUUUGCCAGAGGCACCUGUCAAAAACCUCUAAAGAGAUUUCACCAACUUGUUUUCACUGGAACCAUUCGGAGGAGGCUGGGGAGUGCCACUGUGAACAGUUUAGACAGAGCUCUUAAGGGAAGCCUCAUAGUAGUUAGACAGAACAUUCCCAUCCUAGGCAUUUCUCCUGCUCCCUCACUAAUCAGCGGCAGCACCCCCUGCUCUCUGGGGUUGGGGUUGGGGUUGGGAUUGGGGGUUUGCUGGCUAAGCUGCCUCUGCUGCAGUGUUACUACAUUCUUCUCUUCUCCUGGCCACCAAGCAGCCCAAAUAUGGCUGCAGGCAGAAGCCAAGGAAACCUUCAUGCCCAGAUGAACCAGAGAGAUGCGGGUGGGAUGGGCCUAGUGGAAUCCAUCUCUUCUGCAGUCCCGAAAAGGCACAGGGCUACUGCCAUCCCAGAUGCCAAAGGGAGAAAAUAGAGCCAACCUCAGAGCAAAGCGGUGGCUGCUCUCUGGCUCUGGAUCUGAAGCGCGAGAAAGAAGAGACAGAUGCCAGAUGACACACAGACCUGGCCAGAUCUAAGCCAAUGAAGCAGGGCCUCAACUAAGCUGGGAACAAACGGAGAGUCCCGAGAAAAGUGUUUUUGUUUUAGUUUGUGUGUGUGUGUGUGUG